CCUACGGGGUGCAGCAGUGGGGAAUAUUGGACAAUGGGCGAAAGCCUGAUCCAGCCAUGCCGCGUGUGUGAAGAAGGCCUUCGGGUUGUAAAGCACUUUCAGUGGGGAAGAAAGCCUUGGGGCUAAUACCCUCGAGGAAGGACAUCACCCACAGAAGAAGCACCGGCUAACUCCGUGCCAGCAGCCGCGGUAAUACGGAGGGUGCGAGCGUUAAUCGGAAUUACUGGGCGUAAAGCGCGCGUAGGCGGUCUGAUAAGCCGGUUGUGAAAGCCCCGGGCUCAACCUGGGAACGGCAUCCGGAACUGUCAGGCUAGAGUGCAGGAGAGGAAGGGAGAAUUCCCGGUGUAGCGGUGAAAUGCGUAGAGAUCGGGAGGAAUACCAGUGGCGAAGGCGGCCUUCUGGACUGACACUGACGCUGAGGUGCGAAAGCGUGGGUAGCAAACAGGAUUAGAUACCCCAGUAGUC
This 465-nucleotide ribosomal RNA is filed under the name Vreelandella stevensii. RNAcentral describes it as "partial 16S ribosomal RNA". It matches the Rfam family "Bacterial small subunit ribosomal RNA", at positions 338 to 795 of the family's 1533-position model. The record is from RNAcentral. Lineage: Bacteria; Pseudomonadati; Pseudomonadota; Gammaproteobacteria; Oceanospirillales; Halomonadaceae.